UUGUCGUAAAUAUACGCGCCUAAGACUCAGGUGGCAUUUUGCCUUAAUAUCCUGCCGAGGAAUAAUCUUUUUCCUAUGUCUAGGUGGGCAUAGGGAUUUUUUUUAAAGUCC
This is a regulatory RNA element of 111 nucleotides. It matches the Rfam family "Ribosomal protein L10 leader". Rfam says of the family: This family is a putative r-protein leader autoregulatory structure found in B. subtilis and other low-GC Gram-positive bacteria. It is located in the 5' untranslated regions of mRNAs encoding ribosomal proteins L10 and L12 (rplJ-rplL). The record is from Rfam.